RNAcentral lists this ribosomal RNA (305 nucleotides) under uncultured bacterium. RNAcentral's name for it is "bacterial SSU rRNA". It matches the Rfam family "Bacterial small subunit ribosomal RNA", at positions 337 to 634 of the family's 1533-position model. The record is from RNAcentral.
CCCUACGGGGGGCAGCAGUAGGGAAUCUCCCACAAUGGGCGAAAGCCUGAUGGAGCAACGCUGCGUGGGUGAAGAAGGUCUUCGGAUCGUAAAACCCUGUUGUUAGAGAAGAAAGUGCGUGAGAGUAACUGUUCACGUUUCGACGGUAUCUAACCAGAAAGCCACGGCUAACUACGUGCCAGCAGCCGCGGUAAUACGUAGGUGGCAAGCGUUAUCCGGAUUUAUUGGGCGCAAAGAGAACGCAGGCGGUCUUUUAAGUCUGAUGUGAAAGCCUUCGGCUUAACCGGAGUAGUGCAUUGGAAACU